RNAcentral lists this non-coding RNA (23 nucleotides) under Cricetulus griseus (Chinese hamster). The record is from RNAcentral. Lineage: Eukaryota; Metazoa; Chordata; Mammalia; Rodentia; Cricetidae.
AUCCUGAGGAUUCUGAGAACACU